This 406-nucleotide ribosomal RNA is filed under the name uncultured bacterium. RNAcentral's name for it is "partial 16S ribosomal RNA". It matches the Rfam family "Bacterial small subunit ribosomal RNA", at positions 29 to 526 of the family's 1533-position model. The record is from RNAcentral.
AUUGAACGCUGGCGGCAGGCCUAACACAUGCAAGUCGCACGAGUGGCGGACGGGUGAGUAAUGUCUGGGAAACUGCCCGAUGGAGGGGGAUAACUACUGGAAACGGUAGCUAAUACCGCAUACCAUCGGAUGUGCCCAGAUGGGAUUGGCUAGUAGGUGGGGUAAAGGCUAACCUAGGCGACGAUCCCUAGCUGGUCUGAGAGGCUGACCCGCCAAGCGGGAGCUGAGACCCGGUCCAGACUCCUACGGGAGGCAGCAGUGGGGAAUAUUGCACAAAAGGCGCAAGCCUGAUGCAGCCAUGCCGCGUGUAUGAAGAAGGCCGUCGGGUUGUAAAGGACUUUCAGCGGGGAGGCGUUACCCGCAGAGGAAGCACCGGCUAGCGCCGUGACAGCAGCCGCGGUAAUAC